Non-coding RNA from Candidatus Peribacteria bacterium, 353 nucleotides. The record is from Rfam. NCBI's taxonomy places the organism in Bacteria, Candidatus Peregrinibacteriota, Candidatus Peribacteria.
GUCCCAAGGGUUUGGCUGUUCGCCAAUUAAAGCGGUACGCGAGCUGGGUUCAGAACGUCGUGAGACAGUUUGGCCUCUAUCCUCCGUGGUCAAUUAGAAACGUGAAGGAAGUUGCUCCUAGUACGAGAGGACCGGAGCGAACGAACCUCUGGUGUACCUGUUGUCGCGUCAGCGGCAUCGCAGGGUAGCUAAGUUCGGCGAAGAUAACCGCUGAAAGCAUCUAAGUGGGAAGCUUCUCCUAAGAUUGCGUUUCUCCAUCAGCCCGGAGCAAGAACAGCUCCUAGAUCGGCCACAGGUGUGCGCACGGCAACGUGCUUAGCCGAGUGGUACGAACGGGCAAUUGAACAUUUUUC